This 88-nucleotide transfer RNA is filed under the name Candidatus Thorarchaeota archaeon. RNAcentral's name for it is "tRNA-Leu". It matches the Rfam family "tRNA". From Rfam's summary of the family: Transfer RNA (tRNA) molecules are approximately 80 nucleotides in length. Their secondary structure includes four short double-helical elements and three loops (D, anti-codon, and T loops). Further hydrogen bonds mediate the characteristic L-shaped molecular structure. tRNAs have two regions of fundamental functional importance: the anti-codon, which is responsible for specific mRNA codon recognition, and the 3' end, to which the tRNAs corresponding amino acid is attached (by aminoacyl-tRNA synthetases). tRNAs cope with the degeneracy of the genetic code in two manners: having more than one tRNA (with a specific anti-codon) for a particular amino acid; and 'wobble' base-pairing, i.e. permitting non-standard base-pairing at the 3rd anti-codon position. Lineage: Archaea; Promethearchaeati; Candidatus Thorarchaeota. RNAcentral also lists the same sequence under 1 other name. The record is from RNAcentral.
GCGGAGGUAGCCAAGCCAGGUCAAAGGCGCCAGACUUAGGAUCUGGUCUUGUAGGAGUUCGCGAGUUCAAAUCUCGCCCUCCGCACCA